UACGGGGGGGGCAAGCGUUGUUCGGAAUUACUGGGCGUAAAGGGCUCGUAGGCGGCCAACUAAGUCAGACGUGAAAUCCCCAGGCUCAACCUGGGAACUGCGUCUGAUACUGAUUGGCUUGAAUCCGGGAGAGGGAUGCGGAAUUCCAGGUGUAGCGGUGAAAUGCGUAGAUAUCUGGAGGAACACCGGUGGCGAAGGCGGCAUCCUGGACCGGCAUUGACGCUGAGGCGCGACAGCGUGGGGAGCAAACAGG
This 253-nucleotide ribosomal RNA is filed under the name uncultured bacterium. Its description in RNAcentral is "partial 16S ribosomal RNA". It matches the Rfam family "Bacterial small subunit ribosomal RNA", at positions 524 to 776 of the family's 1533-position model. The record is from RNAcentral.